Molecule: ribosomal RNA, 440 nt
Filed under: uncultured bacterium
Lineage: Bacteria
Description: partial 16S ribosomal RNA
Rfam family: Bacterial small subunit ribosomal RNA
Source: RNAcentral
CCUACGGGAGGCAGCAGUGGGGAAUAUUGCACAAUGCGGGAAACCCUGAUGCAGCGACGCCGCGUGAGUGAAGAAGUAAUUCGUUAUGUAAAGCUCUAUCAACAGGGAAGAAAAUGACGGUACCUGAGUAAGAAGCCCCGGCUAACUACGUGCCAGCAGCCGCGGUAAUACGUAGGGGGCAAGCGUUAUCCGGAUUUACUGGGUGUAAAGGGAACGUAGACGGCAGUGCAAGUCUGGAGUGAAAGGCGUGGGCUCAACCCCAGGACUGCUAUGGAAACUGUACGGCUGGAGUGCAGGAGAGGUAAGUGGAAUUCCUGGUGUAGCGGUGAAAUGCGUAGAUAUUAGGAGGAACACCAGUGGCGAAGGCGGCUUACUGGACUGUAACUGACGUUGAGGCUCGAAAGCGUGGGGAGCAAACAGGAUUAGAUACCCCUGUAGUC